RNAcentral lists this ribosomal RNA (369 nucleotides) under Triticum aestivum (bread wheat). RNAcentral's name for it is "partial small subunit ribosomal RNA". The record is from RNAcentral. Lineage: Eukaryota; Viridiplantae; Streptophyta; Magnoliopsida; Poales; Poaceae.
AUGUUGAGUGCAUCUUGGCCUUGGAGCAGACUGUCGGCAGAAGGUAUUCUCGGUGAGGAAGGUGAGGAUGUUAAAGAUCGAGUGCCGUCUCAAUUCCUGAGCAAGACCACAUGUAAUAUAGUCAUCGAUGAUCUGAUUGUGGACAUCACAAAAAAUAAAUCUGCCGACGACGAUUUCCUUCGAAGAGUUGUCCUCGUGUUGCUUGGAACAGUUCUUGCUCCCAUGUCGAGCAAGACUGUACCAAAGCAAUAUUACGCAUUGGUGGACGAUGUGAAGCGUAUAUCCAAGAUUAAUUGGAAUGCAUUCACCCUCCGUGUUCUGCUGGACUGCCUUCGCAACGUGAGGAAAGGCAAACACCUCCGCCAAUGA